AUGGAAUGAAAUCAAAUUUACCUGAAAUCGUUGCCAAAAUGAAAUUGCAACAAUGUCUCGUAGACGAGUGGCUAUUUGAUAAUGAUGCUGUUUGCUGUGUAUUCAAGAAAUUGUUAUGUUUAUCAAAACAUGUACAUGUAUCAACACUAUUGUGUGAAAUAAUUGAAAAUGAUAAGGGCAAUGACCUCAGCAGCAUUGUGUUUAUUGCUAGACAAUUAGGUAGAAGAGGAAAAGAGUUGGACAUUCUAACUCAAGAAGAGGCAGACGAACUUAAUGAUAUCACGGACGUUCUUUUGGAGUAAUGAUUCAAUAAAACUUUUUAAACUAUGAUAGAAUAAAAUAACCAUAACAUCGGC
This 356-nucleotide long non-coding RNA is filed under the name Mytilus galloprovincialis (Mediterranean mussel). The record is from RNAcentral. Lineage: Eukaryota; Metazoa; Mollusca; Bivalvia; Mytilida; Mytilidae.